This 953-nucleotide long non-coding RNA is filed under the name Gossypium barbadense (sea-island cotton). RNAcentral's name for it is "long non-coding RNA (GBAR_LNC000440)". Lineage: Eukaryota; Viridiplantae; Streptophyta; Magnoliopsida; Malvales; Malvaceae. The record is from RNAcentral.
CAAGCUCAAUCGCAUGCAUUCUCCUUCCAGCCCCCCACUUUUUAGGUCAAGUUACAAGAAAUUAAAGAAAAUUAUAUUAAUUAAUAAGAAAGAAGAGUUGUUAUAUAAAACAUGAAAAGAAAUGCAAAUAAAUUAAAUGGAAAAGCUAAAAACUAUCUCUAAAACCUAUCCUAUUCUAAAGAGUAUUUGAAAUUCUCUCCUCUCCUGUUGAAAUUAGCUCAAAAACACAGAUUCAUAUCAUAGGAUACCCUUGAAGUGUUUACAAGUUUCCGUCAAGUAGUGAAAUUCCACAAAAUACCCUUUUGUAACCAAUCUAUAUCUGACUUAGUAUUGUAACUUCACCUUGCCUGUGUUGCUACAUUCUUCUGAUUAUUGGCCUUUCCAUUCAACUCAGUUGCGCAGGUCAUGACAUUCCUUCAGCUCAUGUCGCAAAAUUGGUUAAUGGAGUUGCAAUUCGCUCUUCAAAUUAUUCGCCAAGGUUGCAGCAUUCCAAUGGUUGGUGUCGCCACAUCUAUCUAAGCUAUUGCAGUUUGUCCUCCAAGUCCAUAUUCAGAGUCACAACAUAUUCUAGCUUGUGUCCCGAUUUUCAUAUGGAUAUUUGGUUUUUCAGGAUUAGUCACGGCCAAGGUCACAACAUUUUCCAGCUUUGUGUCAUGACCUCCAACACCGGUUCCACACAUCUUCCUUGAAGUUUUCAGCUAGCAACGUAACACUAAAACAUGAAGAUUAAAACUCAAUAAUUAAAAUGCUUAAUAUGCAUCCAAAAUAACAUGAAUGGAAUGCUAAAAUGUGAAAAAUCCUAAAUCAUUAAGAAACACUCCUCAAAUCAAUGAUUUUACAAUAAAACCAGCUAAAUUUAAGUGUGAAAUGGGUUCAAAAGCAUAUAUCAACUAGUGAUAAAGUGAAUAAUUUCUCAAACUAUUUGUAAUAUUUUUCGCCUUAUGCUAUUUAUG